RNAcentral lists this long non-coding RNA (415 nucleotides) under Gossypium raimondii (Peruvian cotton). RNAcentral's name for it is "long non-coding RNA (GRAI_LNC000720)". Lineage: Eukaryota; Viridiplantae; Streptophyta; Magnoliopsida; Malvales; Malvaceae. The record is from RNAcentral.
UGUCUCUACGUGGAAUAAUGAUGGAUUGAUCAUGUUGCACUGAGUUUUUUGAUUCGUGGAGCGGUGGCUUCUUGAGUAGUGAUAUUUGUUUCUUUUGCAUGGUUUUACGUUUGUACAUGGUUCUGACGUACUUAGCAUGAAUCUUGAACGAUGGUUUUUGUUUCCUUUUACGUUUUUUUUCUUUUGUAUGUUUGUCUUGUCGUUGAUUUUAUUAUCAUUAAUUGUUUUUCUUCAUUUUUAUGUUACGCAGGCUGUUAGGGGUCAAAAAUAAUUUCCGUUUUCUUGAUUUGCUCUUUUCUUUUUUCUCUUAAGUUUAACCCUAAUUUUCAUCUUGGUUUUCUUUCCUGUGUCCUGCCCACUUUAUCCUUUUCUUUUUUUCCUUUGGGUUGAUUUGGUUUUAUGAUGUCCUUCUUUC